CCUACGGGUGGCAGCAGUGAGGAAUAUUGGUCAAUGGACGAGAGUCUGAACCAGCCAAGUAGCGUGAAGGAUGACUGCCCUCGGGGUUGUAAACUUCUUUUAUAAAGGAAUAAAACGAGGCACGUGUGCCUUUUUGCAUGUACUUUAUGAAUAAGGAUCGGCUAACUCCGUGCCAGCAGCCGCGGUAAUACGGAGGAUCCGAGCGUUAUCCGGAUUUAUUGGGUUUAAAGGGAGCGUAGAUGGGUUGUUAAGUCAGUUGUGAAAGUUUGCGGCUCAACCGUAAAAUUGCAAUUGAUACUGGCAGUCUUGAGUACAGUUGAGGUAGGCGGAAUUCGUGGUGUAGCGGUGAAAUGCUUAGAUAGCACGAAGAACCCCGAUUGCGAAGGCAGCUUACUAAACUGUGACUGACAUUGAUGCUCGAAAGUGUGGGGAUCAAACAGGAUUAGAUACCCCAGUAGUC
Molecule: ribosomal RNA, 460 nt
Filed under: uncultured bacterium
Lineage: Bacteria
Description: partial 16S ribosomal RNA
Rfam family: Bacterial small subunit ribosomal RNA
Source: RNAcentral